RNAcentral lists this ribosomal RNA (468 nucleotides) under uncultured bacterium. Its description in RNAcentral is "partial 16S ribosomal RNA". It matches the Rfam family "Bacterial small subunit ribosomal RNA", at positions 28 to 507 of the family's 1533-position model. The record is from RNAcentral.
GACGAACGCUGGCGGCGUGCUUAACACAUGCAAGUCGAACGGAAAGGCCCUGCUUUUGUGGGGUGCUCGAGUGGCGAACGGGUGAGUAACACGUGAGUAACCUGCCCUUGACUUUGGGAUAACUUCAGGAAACUGGGGCUAAUACCGGAUAGGAGCUCCUGCUGCAUGGUGGGGGUUGGAAAGUUUCGGCGGUUGGGGAUGGACUCGCGGCUUAUCAGCUUGUUGGUGGGGUAGUGGCUUACCAAGGCUUUGACGGGUAGCCGGCCUGAGAGGGUGACCGGCCACAUUGGGACUGAGAUACGGCCCAGACUCCUGCGGGAGGCAGCAGUGGGGAAGAUUGCACAAUGGGCGGAAGCCUGAUGCAGCAACGCCGCGUGCGGGAUGACGGCCUUCGGGUUGUAAACCGCUUUCGCCUGUGACGAAGCGUGAGUGACGGUAAUGGGUAAAGAAGCACCGGCUAACUACGUG